This 845-nucleotide long non-coding RNA is filed under the name Triticum aestivum (bread wheat). RNAcentral describes it as "long non-coding RNA (TAES_LNC005871)". The record is from RNAcentral. Lineage: Eukaryota; Viridiplantae; Streptophyta; Magnoliopsida; Poales; Poaceae.
AUGUACUUCAACAAGCUUAUCAACAAAUAUAUACCAGAUGCUACAUUGGCAUGUUAUUAUUUUGUUAGUGUAGUCACAUGAACUUCAUAUGAUUUAGCUGCAUUGUCAUAUAUUUAUUCACAAGAUCUGCUCGUCUAUAUCUGUCAAGACUGGAAACCUUGAGACGGUGAUCAAACAUUUGGUUGAAGGAAUCAGCAAACAGAUGUUUUCGAGGUACACCUAUGAUCUAUGUGUCAACUCUCAAAUGUCUAGUACUGCAAAACUGUUGUAUGGCCAUGAUGGUGCUUUAUUUAUUUUUCUGUCUUUUGUGUAUACAGACCAAUACUUCGUUCUUAUUUUCAGUUACUUGCAAUCUUGCAUGUUAUUGCUGGCAUGAGUUUUGUAUGUCCAUGACUGUUGUGAUACUGUUAAUAUGAUGCAGAUUUGUGUUCUUGUGUAUGCUGCAAUAUUUUUGAUAUUUUAGAGAAGUGCUAAAUUUGUGACCAUUAUUUUGAGCAUCAUGUUGUGAGCUCUGAUGUUCCUCUCAAGACUUGGAUCGGCAACCUGAUGCAAGUGCUCAAGGGAUAUCUGGAGCAUGUACUUCUCAAGGCGAUGUGAUGCAUGUGUAGUUAAUUACCAUGUUGAUUGGAAGUGUUUCGAUCUAGCAACAGUAGCUGAUAUGUGGCCUUGUCUAUAGCAGGUUGUAGAUUAAACUUGCAGUGUAUAGACCAUUUUGCAACUUAAGCUAGCUUUUUUGGAUCGAUGGGUGGUAUGAAUAUGUUGUAUGAUGAUGAAUAUUCGGUCAUCUAUGAAUUAUUUGAAUUAUGGCUGAUAUAUAUAUAUCCAAAUUUGGUGUAUUGUUGCUU